Long non-coding RNA from Ananas comosus (pineapple), 1645 nucleotides. RefSeq lists it as uncharacterized. The transcript has 3 exons. NCBI's taxonomy places the organism in Eukaryota, Viridiplantae, Streptophyta, Magnoliopsida, Poales, Bromeliaceae. The record is from RefSeq and is a predicted model, not a curated record.
UGCCAUCUCAGCUUCAAUGUCAAGGCCCUUCACAGCUGAAAGUGGUUGUUCUAAUAGGGCGCCUUGAUUGUCUGGAGUAACGUAAGCUGAAGGACAAGUGCUAGAGGUAUAUGGGUGCCGCAAGCAACCACCUCAGAAUCCAACAGAAAAUUGGUGGUUCAUCUUGCAUGUAAAGGCUACUUCCAACAUGCUUGCAGUUGGAGGGUCUUCGUCGCACUAACAUCUAGUUCAUUGUUGUUUAUGAUGUUUAAAGAAAGAAAUGAUCAAAUUUUGAAGUUCUUGCAGAAGGGUAUUCUCCAACUUUUUCUCUUUUUAUUUUUGUGCAUUUAUUCUGUUACUUUUUACUGGUACACAAGUACAGCCUCGCUGGUCUCUAACAUAAGUAUCUUUAAUAUGGUACCAAAAAUAGAUGAGAAGCAACUUUUGGCGCUUACCAGUUGAAAUAUGGAGCAGCAUCUUCAGUUUCGGACAUCUCAUUGCAAAUGCUGAAAUAUGCUUUACUCCAAAUGUGUUGAUGCCCAAAGCUGUAUCAUACCUAUUGAUAUUUCAAAACAAAAUUUUCUGUGAACAACAUAAAUGAGUUCACAUGGAAAGGUGCCAUGCGACUUUUUAAAGCUUGGAAACUCGUUGCCACUAGUGCAAAUUACAAGGAUUUACAUUUCCUUCUUAUUAUAAAAGGUGUCAAGGAGCAGAAAUUAGAGGUCACCAUAUUGUUUAUUACCUUUCGUUAAAGUCUAUGUUUGCCGCUACAUGGACGAUGACAUUAAUUUCGCUCCAGAGGGUUUCUUUAAGUUUGUCUUCGUGUAUUCCCAAAUCCUCAAAGGUAAUGUCUCCUGCCAAAGGGCAGACUUUGUCCCAGAAGUAUGAAGGAAAGUUCCCUUGGUAUUUCUCUUCCAGAAUUUCAAAUACCUCAGUUUGCAUAACCUACAUGUUGCAGGUAUUACAAUGCAGAUGACACAAUCCAGUAAGGAGAAGCAAUAUUAGCAACAAUGGUUGGAUGAUAGUUACUUUACUAAUCCUUCAUCGAGAAAAAGACUUUUGUGUCUUUGUUAGGCAUGAUGCUAACCUCAGUUUCCACACGGCGCUUUGCGGAAACAUAAUCAGCUGCGCGCACCAACAGGUAAAGCUUCUUCACCUUCGGUUGAAUUCGAAGUACCUUCUCCAAAAACACUUCAUUCAAGAAAAAGGGGGGGAAAAAUAAAACAAAAGGCUGUCAGGGUUGCUUUUAUCAAUUCAAUACGAAAUGCUUAUAUGAGGAGCAGAACUUCAUGUUUGGAUAACACAGUUAAAAACUAGGCAUGAAUAUAUGUAUAUUACACUUUGCUAUGAGCCCGGUGGCACCGGUGACGAGAAGGCUCUUGUCCUCCAGAUAGUUUGCUACACUCUCCGGCUGCAUGAUUGUGAGAAACAGGAAAAGAGGGGCAAGCGAGCAAAAUAUGUCUACUUGAAUUUGAAUACCUCAUAUGAAUAUAUGCGCGCUAUAUAUAGACAAUGUUGUUAUAUGUCAAUAAUCAAGCUGGUCAUUGUGCAUUUACUGAGGAUUGAAAGUGUACCGUAAUGUUUUUGCUUUUGAGGUGGACUUAAGAUUAUCCUCAAGCAUAACUGUGGCACCCUACUUUUCACAUGAUCACUUAUCUUAGAUUUA